GAGCCCACUGGUUAAUUUAUUAGUUAGGAAAAUUUCCUCUAUUUCAUUGUAAUCUUGCCAUAAUACCUUUGCCUAGCUUUUUUUUUUUAAAAAAAAAAAAGUUGAGUCUAAUAUUCAUGCUCGGACAUGCUGCUAUGCUCCUUCCAACGCGAUGGAGAUAAGAGCUCUUAUGAAUGUGUUGAGCCAGGCCCUGCUGGAUUCCAUGAACGGGUUGGCAGACAUCUCUACUCCCAUGCCAGAAACCACAGCACCCGCGCUUGCUUCUGCAGUGCAUGGUUACAUGCUUCUUCAUGAUAUUCUUGCCCAAGACUCUUAGACAAUCCUCAAAAACUAUUUGCAGGAGGGUGCCUUCAUAUAGCAGCUACAAAGAGGUGUAGAAAGCACAUGGUGGAAACUAACGAGUUUUUGCCAACAAGUUCAGAAGGUUUUCUUAUGGAUUCAGUAACUAUCUCAACGGCAUAUGUUACAUCAACAUAAGCAACGAAAUCUAGGCACAUAUCAAAUUUCAC
Molecule: long non-coding RNA, 509 nt
Organism: Ipomoea triloba (trilobed morning glory)
Lineage: Eukaryota; Viridiplantae; Streptophyta; Magnoliopsida; Solanales; Convolvulaceae
Exons: 3
Source: RefSeq, a predicted model, not a curated record